CCUACGGGAGGCAGCAGUGAGGAAUAUUGGUCAAUGGGCGAGAGCCUGAACCAGCCAAGUAGCGUGAAGGAUGACUGCUCUAUGGGUUGUAAACUUCUUUUAUAUAGGAAUAAAGUGAGGAACGUGUUCCUUUUUGUAUGUACUAUAUGAAUAAGCAUCGGCUAACUCCGUGCCAGCAGCCGCGGUAAUACGGAGGAUCCGAGCGUUAUCCGGAUUUAUUGGGUUUAAAGGGUGCGUAGGUGGGUUAUUAAGUCAGUUGUGAAAGUUUGUGGCUCAACCGUAAAAUUGCAGUUGAAACUGGUUGUCUUGAGUACAGUUGAGGUAGGCGGAAUGCGUGGUGUAGCGGUGAAAUGCUUAGAUAUCACGAAGAACUCCGAUUGCGAAGGCAGCUUACUAAACUGCCACUGACACUGAAGCACGAAAGUGUGGGGAUCAAACAGGAUUAGAUACCCGUGUAGUC
This 460-nucleotide ribosomal RNA is filed under the name uncultured bacterium. RNAcentral describes it as "partial 16S ribosomal RNA". It matches the Rfam family "Bacterial small subunit ribosomal RNA", at positions 338 to 795 of the family's 1533-position model. The record is from RNAcentral.